Molecule: unclassified non-coding RNA, 229 nt
Filed under: plant metagenome
Description: partial contains small subunit ribosomal RNA, internal transcribed spacer 1, and 5.8S ribosomal RNA
Source: RNAcentral
UCUCCGUAGGUGAACCUGCGGAGGGAUCAUUACAGAGUUCAUGCCCUACCGGGUAGAUCUCCCACCCUAUGUUAUUAUUACUUUGUUGCUUUGGCGGGCCGUUAGGCUCCGGCCCGACUACCGGCCCCGGCUGGUAAGCGCCCGCCAGAGGACCCAAAACCCUGAGUAUUAGUGUCGUCUGAGUACUAUAUAAGAGUUAAAACUUUCAACAACGGAUCUCUUGGUUCUG